UACGAAGGGGGCUAGCGUUGCUCGGAAUCACUGGGCGUAAAGGGUGCGUAGGCGGGUCUUAAGUCAGGGGUGAAAUCCUGGAGCUCAACUCCAGAACUGCCUUUGAUACUGAGGAUCUUGAGUUCGGGAGAGGUGAGUGGAACUGCGAGUGUAGAGGUGAAAUUCGUAGAUAUUCGCAAGAACACCAGUGGCGAAGGCGGCUCACUGGCCCGAUACUGAUGCUGAGGCACGAAAGCGUGGGGAGCAAACAGG
Molecule: ribosomal RNA, 252 nt
Filed under: uncultured bacterium
Lineage: Bacteria
Description: partial 16S ribosomal RNA
Rfam family: Bacterial small subunit ribosomal RNA
Source: RNAcentral